This 633-nucleotide ribosomal RNA is filed under the name Bradyrhizobium sp. Its description in RNAcentral is "bacterial SSU rRNA". It matches the Rfam family "Bacterial small subunit ribosomal RNA", at positions 81 to 749 of the family's 1533-position model. Lineage: Bacteria; Pseudomonadati; Pseudomonadota; Alphaproteobacteria; Hyphomicrobiales; Nitrobacteraceae. The record is from RNAcentral.
UAGCAAUACGUCAGCGGCAGACGGGUGAGUAACGCGUGGGAACAUACCUUUUGGUUCGGAACAACACAGGGAAACUUGUGCUAAUACCGGAUAAGCCCUUACGGGGAAAGAUUUAUCGCCGAAAGAUUGGCCCGCGUCUGAUUAGCUAGUUGGUGAGGUAACGGCUCACCAAGGCGACGAUCAGUAGCUGGUCUGAGAGGAUGAUCAGCCACAUUGGGACUGAGACACGGCCCAAACUCCUACGGGAGGCAGCAGUGGGGAAUAUUGGACAAUGGGCGCAAGCCUGAUCCAGCCAUGCCGCGUGAGUGAUGAAGGCCCUAGGGUUGUAAAGCUCUUUUGUGCGGGAAGAUAAUGACGGUACCGCAAGAAUAAGCCCCGGCUAACUUCGUGCCAGCAGCCGCGGUAAUACGAAGGGGGCUAGCGUUGCUCGGAAUCACUGGGCGUAAAGGGUGCGUAGGCGGGUCUUUAAGUCAGGGGUGAAAUCCUGGAGCUCAACUCCAGAACUGCCUUUGAUACUGAGGAUCUUGAGUUCGGGAGAGGUGAGUGGAACUGCGAGUGUAGAGGUGAAAUUCGUAGAUAUUCGCAAGAACACCAGUGGCGAAGGCGGCCUCACUGGCCCGAUACUGACGCUGA